GCGUGCUUAACACAUGCAAGUCGAACGGAAAGGCCCUGCUUUUGUGGGGUGCUCGAGUGGCGAACGGGUGAGUAACACGUGAGUAACCUGCCCUUGACUUUGGGAUAACUUCAGGAAACUGGGGCUAAUACCGGAUAGGAGCUCCUGCUGCAUGGUGGGGGUUGGAAAGUUUCGGCGGUUGGGGAUGGACUCGCGGCUUAUCAGCUUGUUGGUGGGGUAGUGGCUUACCAAGGCUUUGACGGGUAGCCGGCCUGAGAGGGUGACCGGCCACAUUGGGACUGAGAUACGGCCCAGACUCCUACGGGAGGCAGCAGUGGGGAAUAUUGCACAAUGGGCGGAAGCCUGAUGCAGCAACGCCGCGUGCGGGAUGACGGCCUUCGGGUUGUAAACCGCUUUCGCCUGUGACGAAGCGUGAGUGACGGUAAUGGGUAAAGAAGCACCGGCUAACUACGUGCCAGCAGCCGCGGUGAUACGUAGGGUGCGAGCGUUGUCCGGAUUUAUUGGGCGUAAAGGGCUCGUAGGUGGUUGAUCGCGUCGGAAGUGUAAUCUUGGGGCUUAACCCUGAGCGUGCUUUCGAUACGGGUUGACUUGAGGAAGGUAGGGGAGAAUGGAAUUCCUGGUGGAGCGGUGGAAUGCGCAGAUAUCAGGAGGAACACCAGUGGCGAAGGCGGUUCUCUGGGCCUUUCCUGACGCUGAGGAGCGAAAGCGUGGGGAGCGAACAGGCUUAGAUACCCUGGUAGUCCACGCUGUAAACGGUGGGUACUAGGUGUGGGGUCCAUUCCACGGGUUCCGUGCCGUAGCUAACGCUUUAAGUACCCCGCCUGGGGAGUACGGCCGCAAGGCUAAAACUCAAAGGAAUUGACGGGGCCCCGCACAAGCGGCGGAGCAUGCGGAUUAAUUCGAUGCAACGCGUAGAACCUUACCCGGGUUUGACAUGGAUCGGGAGUGCUCAGAGAUGGGUGUGCCUCUUUUGGGGUCGGUUCACAGGUGGUGCAUGGCUGUCGUCAGCUCGUGUCGUGAGAUGUUGGGUUAAGUCCCGCAACGAGCGCAACCCUUGUUCACUGUUGCCAGCACGUUAUGGUGGGGACUCAGUGGAGACCGCCGGGGUCAACUCGGAGGAAGGUGGGGAUGACGUCAAGUCAUCAUGCCCCUUAUGUCCAGGGCUUCACGCAUGCUACAAUGGCUGGUACAGAGAGUGGCGAGCCUGUGAGGGUGAGCGAAUCUCGGAAAGCCGGUCUCAGUUCGGAUUGGGGUCUGCAACUCGACCUCAUGAAGUCGGAGUCGCUAGUAAUCGCAGAUCAGCAACGCUGCGGUGAAUACGUUCCCGGGGCUUGUACACACCGCCCGUCAAGUCAUGAAAGUUGGUAACACCCGAAGCCGGUGGCCUAACCAUUGUGGGGGAGCCGUCGAAGGUGGGACUGGUGAUUAGGACUAAA
This 1436-nucleotide ribosomal RNA is filed under the name uncultured organism. RNAcentral's name for it is "partial small subunit ribosomal RNA". It matches the Rfam family "Bacterial small subunit ribosomal RNA". The record is from RNAcentral.